RNAcentral lists this ribosomal RNA (449 nucleotides) under uncultured bacterium. RNAcentral describes it as "partial 16S ribosomal RNA". It matches the Rfam family "Bacterial small subunit ribosomal RNA", at positions 29 to 523 of the family's 1533-position model. The record is from RNAcentral.
AACGAACGCUGGCGGCAGGCCUAACACAUGCAAGUCGAACGCCCUGGCAACAGGGAGUGGCAGACGGGUGAGUAACGCGUGGGAACGUGCCCUUCGGUUCGGAAUAACUCAGGGAAACUUGAGCUAUUACCGAAUACGUUCGAGAGCAGAAAGAUUUAUCGCCGAAGGAUCGGCCCGCGUCCGAUUAGCUAGUUGGUGAGGUAAUGGCUCACCAAGGCGACGAUCGGUAGCUGGUCUGAGAGGAUGAUCAGCCACACUGGGACUGAGACACGGCCCAGACUCCUACGGGAGGCAGCAGUGGGGAAUAUUGGACAAUGGGCGCAAGCCUGAUCCAGCCAUGCCGCGUGAGUGAUGAAGGCCCUAGGGUUGUAAAGCUCUUUCGCCAGGGACGAUAAUGACGGUACCUGGAUAAGAAGCCCCGGCUAACUUCGUGCCAGCAGCCGCAGUAA